AUGACUAGGGAUAACCUUAGGAAGAGACACAUCAUCAAACCCCUUGAUUGUAUUUACUGCUUGGAACAAGAGUCUUGUUCUCACCUAUUUUUUGAAUGUAUAGUUGCUAAACAUCUCUGGACCCACAUUGAGGAAUAUUUUUCUAGUCAGAUUGGCUCAUCCUUCGAAUCUGUCGCCAGAUUCUGGAUUGCUACCAAAAAGUGCUCAGUUUUAAACAUUGUUAGCUCAGCUGUCCUUUGGUGCCUCUGGAAAUAUAAAAAUGCUAUGAUUUUCAGUAACACCUCCUGGAUUUCCAUUCCGCGGGUCUUGAGGUUGAUCGGGAACAAGUUGAUGAGCUUUGUGGAAACCCUAACAAGAUCCCUCCAGAAACCGUUGGCGAUUACUUGUGGCUGA
This 393-nucleotide ribosomal RNA is filed under the name Triticum aestivum (bread wheat). Its description in RNAcentral is "partial small subunit ribosomal RNA". The record is from RNAcentral. Lineage: Eukaryota; Viridiplantae; Streptophyta; Magnoliopsida; Poales; Poaceae.